RNAcentral lists this ribosomal RNA (468 nucleotides) under uncultured bacterium. Its description in RNAcentral is "partial 16S ribosomal RNA". It matches the Rfam family "Bacterial small subunit ribosomal RNA", at positions 28 to 507 of the family's 1533-position model. The record is from RNAcentral.
GACGAACGCUGGCGGCGUGCUUAACACAUGCAAGUCGAACGGAAAGGCCCUGCUUUUGUGGGGUGCUCGAGUGGCGAACGGGUGUGUAACCCGUGAGUAACCUGCCCUUGACUUUGUGAUAACUUCAGGAAACUGGGGCUAAUACCGGAUAGGAGCUCCUGCUGCAUGGUGGGGUUUGGAAAGUUUCGGCGGUUGGGGAUGGACUCGCGGCUUAUCAGCUUGUUGGUGGGGUAGUGGCUUACCAAGGCUUUGACGGGUAGCCGGCCUGAGAGGGUGACCGGCCACAUUGGGACUGAGAGACGGACCAGACGGCUACGGGAGGCAGCAGUGGGGAAUAUUGCACAAUGGGCGGAAGCCUGAUGCAGAAACGCCGCGUGCGGGAUGACGGCCUUCGGGUUGUAAACCGCUUUCGCCUGUGACGAAGCGUGAGUGACGGUAAUGGGUAAAGAAGCACCGGCUAACUACGUG